CAGUAGCCGCGGGAAUACGUAGGGUGCGAGCGUUAAUCGGAAUUACUGGGCGUAAAGCGUGCGCAGGCGGUUGUGUAAGACAGGUGCGAAAUCCCCGGGCUCAACCUGGGAAUGGCAGUGGAUACUGGCUCGCUAGAGUGUGUCAGAGGAUGGUGGAAUUCCCGGUGUAGCGGUGAAAUGCGUAGAGAUCGGGAGGAACAUCAGUGGCGAAGGCGGCCAUCUGGGACAACACUGACGCUGAGGCACGAAAGCGUGGGGAGCAAACAGGAUUAGAGACCCGAGUAGUCCCUGUCUCUUAUAC
Molecule: ribosomal RNA, 301 nt
Filed under: uncultured bacterium
Lineage: Bacteria
Description: partial 16S ribosomal RNA
Rfam family: Bacterial small subunit ribosomal RNA
Source: RNAcentral